AUUGAACGCUGGCGGCAGGCUUAACACAUGCAAGUCGAGCGGUAACAGUCCUUCGGGAGCUGACGAGCGGCGGACGGGUGAGUAACGCGUAGGAAUGUACCCUAUAGUGGGGGAUAGCCCGGGGAAACCCGGAUUAAUACCGCAUACGUCUUCGGAUAAAAGGUGGCCUCUAUUUAUAAGCUAUCGCUAUAGGAUCAGCCUGCGUAAGAUUAGCUAGUUGGUGGGGUAAGAGCUCACCAAGGCGACGAUCUUUAGCUGGUUUGAGAGGAUGAUCAGCCACACUGGGACUGAGACACGGCCCAGACUCCUACGGGAGGCAGCAGUGGGGAAUAUUGGGCAAUGGGCGCAAGCCUGACCCAGCCAUGCCGCGUGUGUGAAGAAGGCUCUAGGGUUGUAAAGCACUUUAAGUUGUGAGGAAAGGUUCUAGGCUAAUAUCCUAAAACUGUGACGUUAACAACAGAAUAAGCACCGGCUAACUCCG
Molecule: ribosomal RNA, 481 nt
Filed under: uncultured Gammaproteobacteria bacterium
Lineage: Bacteria; Pseudomonadati; Pseudomonadota; Gammaproteobacteria
Description: bacterial SSU rRNA
Rfam family: Bacterial small subunit ribosomal RNA
Source: RNAcentral